This 22-nucleotide non-coding RNA is filed under the name Mus musculus (house mouse). The record is from RNAcentral. Lineage: Eukaryota; Metazoa; Chordata; Mammalia; Rodentia; Muridae.
UGGCUCACACUCAACUCGGAGG